GAAAAAGUGAACGCAGACGUCGCUUGCUGUCACCUAUCUCGCGAGGAAUAGCCCUUCUGAUAUUUGCUUCUGACUCCUGCAACAAGAUCGCGAUGGCAACCGAUAACGAUGCAUGGGCAGCUGAACAGUACGCCACAGGCAAUUACGGUACGGAGGUCUACGGUGUUGACGAAUUUGGCACAGCGUAUGGAACGGAACAAUUUGGCACCGGCUACGACGUGCAGGGCUGGGGCACAGAGCAGUAUGGAAUGCAGCCCCAAGGAUUUACGCAGCAAGGUUACUCCGGGAUAUCGGGUACAGGCACGGCUGCAA
Long non-coding RNA from Ornithodoros turicata, 312 nucleotides. RefSeq lists it as uncharacterized. NCBI's taxonomy places the organism in Eukaryota, Metazoa, Arthropoda, Arachnida, Ixodida, Argasidae. The transcript is spliced from 8 exons. The record is from RefSeq and is a predicted model, not a curated record.